CUUAAUCAAGCUAGCUUUUAUGCCCUGCUCUUCGGGUAAUAAAAGUUAAAAAUAAUAGAAUGAGCUAUGCAUGUAGAAGUUAGGCUGAAGGAUUGACGGACGCGGGUUCAAUUCCCGCCGCCUCCACCA
RNAcentral lists this transfer-messenger RNA (129 nucleotides) under Gammaproteobacteria bacterium. Its description in RNAcentral is "partial transfer-messenger RNA". It matches the Rfam family "transfer-messenger RNA", at positions 236 to 374 of the family's 374-position model. Rfam says of the family: Bacterial tmRNA, also known as 10Sa RNA or SsrA, is named for its dual tRNA and mRNA-like properties. Lineage: Bacteria; Pseudomonadati; Pseudomonadota; Gammaproteobacteria. The record is from RNAcentral.